ACACAUCAAUGGACUAGACCACCAGCUAUGGUAGUUUAAAGCUAACGUAAGGUUCGUCAUCUUCAACCACCUGAAAGAGAAAAGCUUGAUCUUAUCCAAUAAAAUAUGAGGUGUGCCCGUUGAGCCCUUGAACAACCGAUGAUUUCUCUCUGUCCAUAACACCCAAACACAAGCGAGCCAAACAAGCUGCAAAAAGGACCGUCUCGCCCGAGAUCCACCUAAUAAAGCCGUAAACUGAACAAAAUGAUCACGCAGAGAAGUGGAAUCCACCAAGGAAGUGCCAAUCCAUGCGCGAACUAAAUCCCACAGCGAUCCAGCAAUACUACAAGAUAGAAAUAAAUGAUGAG
Molecule: long non-coding RNA, 347 nt
Filed under: Trifolium pratense (red clover)
Lineage: Eukaryota; Viridiplantae; Streptophyta; Magnoliopsida; Fabales; Fabaceae
Description: long non-coding RNA (TPRA_LNC010728)
Source: RNAcentral